UGUCUGCCUACUGCUUCGCACACUGCAUGAUUUGCUGCUGGUAGACAAAACUUACUCCUGAUUCUUGAAGGAGGGAUGUUUUUUGCAGGGCCUGUAGCCUUGACUUCUGGCCAUAUAACCAAGUGUGUUGAGCAGAAAAGGGGUUUUCCUGAUCACAGUUCCAAAUCCUCUCUCCUGACCAUGGGACUUCACUUUCUGGACAUUGUGUGAAAAAGACUGGAGAAACAAACUCUUAUCUUCUCCUUAUCUGGCUCAAUACCUGCAGAGAGCUCAGAAACAGUGACAUAAGAGAAUUAGAGUAAGUGCUGUAAUGAGGAUUUCAAGUGAGAAGCUGGCAUGAAGAAGCACCUGCAGCAUUUAACUGCUGUGUUUUAUUCAUCCUGAAGCAAGUGUAAUUUAAAGGGACACCUCUAUAAUUGAUGAAGUAUCUCUUUACUGUUUGUUUAAUUACCAGUUUCAAUGUCUAGAAAGCAGUGGAUCAAUAAUUUACAGUGAUGAACUCCCUGUGUCCCUCUAGUUCAGCCACACAAACAAUAGCUCCGGAAACAAACACUUUUAAAGUUUUGAUGCUUUUCUUUCUCUGUAGUUGAUUUGAAAGAGCUUAACCCUUUUUUUUCCUACCACAGGCGUAUUCCAGUACUGCUGAAGCUGAUGGCAGAGCUCCCACUGACAGCAGGGAAGCGGGGCUAAUCUAGGGCAUGCCAUGAGCACUGUAUCAGCUCUCAUCUUUUUUCAGUCUCCUUUCAUUACUGUAAAAUGGCUAAGCCUGGGCUCGUGCUGUUGCUACGAUAGCUGAUGAUGCUGCUCACCAUCUGAGAACUGUUAAAAUGCAGAAUUUCGAUGAAGGAGUUGAAGCUGCUUGCCUGAAUUUUGUAUGGUUUUCCUGCAUUAUAUGCUCUGUAACAUGUAUUGAUUUUCUGUGGUAGAUACCUUUUUUUUUUUUUUGAGACUCUCAGACCAUCCUUUCAGAGCUCAGAAUCCUCAAGACUGAAUUUCUCGCUUUCUGCAGGGGAACCUCAGUAAUGUAUGCCUGUAGAAUCACAGGAACAAAAUUGUUCUCUUCCCAUUGGUAUAAGAUAUCUGGUGGUUUCCUAUCAUUGUUUUGGCUGCCACGAACAGUGGAGCUUGAUCAAGAGUAGCAGAACAGAAGGUAACCAAUUUUGUGAGAUCUCCAAACGUGUGCGCUUCUAACAUGAUGCAGUCUUACGUCUACACGCUGGUGGCCUCAAGGUAGAGGGAUAACUUCACUUUUCUGCCUUUUGUAAGGAUGUUCUCAUUGUCUCCAUCGGCACAACUCUUCUUGCUUCUGAUUCUUAGGGGUGCUGAUCCUCAUCUUCUGACAGAGAACAGAAAGCUGUGGGACAGCUUAUAUUGUUAUGAAUGUCGCAUCUGUCACAUUCAGCAGUUUAUACCCGUGUAACAGGAACUAUGAAAAUUACCUCACGAUCUCUCGUUUGAGUUGAAGGUCACAGCCUGAAUGUUUUCUUUGGUAUGGUAGCUGUAAAGAGUAGAGAGCCGUGCAUGUCUAUGGCUGCCUGUUUUGUGUGUGUCAGCAGGAUUUCUGCUGUUUUUCAGCCACCGUCCGUAUGACCAUAGGUAAAUCGGAAAGAAAGAAGAGGGGAAUGAAUGUUUCCAUUCACUGUAUAGGCCUGUGUUUAUCCAGAUGUGGAACGUGCAUUCCCGAGGACCACAAAAGGAACAGGCCCCCAGUUAUUCUUUGUAUAUUUUGUCUUUGGUUUUGAUUAAAUCUAUGCUGUUGAUCAAGCAGAAAAUCUCAAAAACGCUCUGAGCAGAAUAGUGUGGCCCUCCUGAGUGGGCAGAGUUACAGCUGUGUCGUAGAGAUGGGGUGUUCCUCAUACUUCACGGGGGGCUUACUGAGUUGCACGCCAAUGGUUCUUUUUCACUGUGGCUGUUCUAGAAGUCUUGUCUCAUCAGAGCUUUGACUCAGUAAGAGUAUAAGUUUUUUAAAUGUGGGAAAACAAUAUUGUGGAUCAUUUGAGGAAUACAAGCCAAUGUGGGAUGCCCUUCUGAAAUGAUGUCUGUGUUUUUCAGGCAUCCUGGUGUAUCUUUGCCAAGAUGACUGUAACUCAUGAUUUGCUGAUUACUGUUAACUGAAAUAGAUCUAUUUUAGAAUCAAAGUGUGUACGAUCCGUAAAAACCUGAAAGGCUUUAGUGGGAACGUCGUGGUGCUGUCAGACUGGUCAGAAGAUUACUUCAGACGAUACCCUUCGUCUGGUGGCUUUUACUCUCCUUUUCAGAAGCAGCAGAAGAGACAGGGUAAAGGGAAGCAGCUCAGACAUAAGCCAGCUGUGAGCCCACGUGCUCCUGUUGGCUGCCAGGCCUCAAACCUGACACGUUGCCAGAUAGCCAGUUUGCACUGUGUGUCUACUUUUCUUUCUGCUUUUGGAAACUGCUUAGGCCGCUUCUUUUAGGAUAAACUAGAAUCUCUACAAAUCAAUGGAUGUGUUCCUGUUUUGGGUUUGUUAUCUAGUUUUAUUCCAGACUUUUGAAGAUUCUUUCCUUAAGCUUAUCGUAGGGGCCUUAAGCCAUCAAAGUAAAUGCAAAAUGCUUUUGGUUCCCUUGCAAAGAAGGGUAUAAAGGAAGUUCUGUGCCAUAUGUGUUCCUAACAGUUUGUUGGACCUUAAACUUUUCACUGUCCCAAAAUAACUGCCAAACAAAGUCAGUUUGGGACAGAAGGGAAAAAAAAAAAAGUGGUGGAAGUACAAAUUGUGCCUGUAAACUUUAGGCUUAAAAAUCAUCAAAUGAAAAACUAGUCCAGUUGUUCAAAUGUCUAAAGCAUUGAAUGUGUCCUUUUUCUAUGCUCAUGAAACUUGGCUCCACUUGGUAGUUCAUAGUUUGCUUACAGGAUUGCUAUAAGAGUCCCACCCAGAAGGAAAAUAAGAGUGUUGUUAUGCUGUCUCUCCCAGGUGUCACUUGAAUGUGGUGUCAGAACGAAAUGUCACAAUACUUGCAAACUGGUACGUUGUGAUUUUAUUUCCCUCAGGGGAGCUGUAGACAUUCUAUGACACGAACCUUUGAUAGGUAGUAUUGUACCAAUAUGAAAUAUGUUUACCUCACCAUUUCCCUUAACUUGAUAACUUCAAGUACAAAUUAGACUGACAUAAAUCUUAACAUUGCUGUAAACUUCCUAUAUUGCACUUAGCAGGAUGGGGAGUAGGAUUAGCUGUUGAGACGUUCUUCAUCUGCAAGCUAUUUUAUAAAAACAAACCAUUUCAGGAAGUAUAUUCCAUAUGUUAUCCCCUCUCCCAUGCUUUUUGUAAAGUUUCAGCCUUUGAGCCUUUGUUUUUGUGACAUUAGGAGCUUGAAUUUACCUAAUAUAAUCUAGUUAUAACUUGCAUUCCAGUCUCCUUAUGGCAGAAUUGUUUUGACACCUGACUAGGAACUCACCAUUAGCUUUAUUCGGACUUUACCAAAAAGAAAAGCUUCAUGUUGACUAAAAGAAGCAGUUUCUUUUAGCUGUUUUGGAGGGAGAUGUUUCCUUCUUAAACCAUUUCUCAUAGCAUCAGGUGUCUGGUUUUGGAUGUGGUUUGUUUUGAUGCAAAACUGCAUUGAUUAAAACUGUCAAUUAAAGAAGAGAAAGAAGAAGAUCAAGCAUAGGACAGCUGAGUUGUUUCCUAUAGAGCAUCUUGAGAUAACAGAUCUGCUAUUUUGGAUUCCUCUAAAUCAAUACAUGUUGACACACUUAAGAAUAAUAUCAUUCUCUAGAUUUCAGAAAAUAGGACAGCUUAAACUUACAGUUUUGAUAUCAGCAUUUUUAAACAGGCAAUCCUGUAUUGGAGAAGAAUUUUAUAACUAUUGGUGACGAGUUCCCCCAUGAGGCACGGACUGUUAUCUCCACGUCAGAGUCCUGGUUUCAUACCUGUGCUCCUUCUAACUUCAGAGCCAAAACAAAUAUCUCACUUAUCCUGAAACAGACUUUAUGAAACUGAACAAACAAUUUACUGACUUUAUCUUGGAACUUAGUACCAAAAAUAAGGAGAGAGGACAGCAGUGUUAGGGUCAGACUUAAUGCUGAGACUUUGUACAGACGCAGAUGCGUCCUGUCAUGAAUGCAAGAACAUGAAGUACUUAAUUGGGCAAAAAAACAGAGGUCAAUUUUAACAUCUUCAGCAACUAAGAUGUCCCUAAGUGUAAAUCAAAUAUGAAAUGGUAUCUUGGGACAGCAUUGCUAUAUGCCCUGGACAGCUUUGCACACCCUUGACUGCAUGCUCUUUUCUGGGCUGGUGAUGUAGGGACAAGGGCAGGUUAUGGGCAGCUGGUGAAGAAUGUAGCUGAGACCUGGUUAUGCUGGAGCAAUGCUCUGGAACAGCAAAGGGAACAGUAAAUCUCAGCUCCUUCUCAACAGGACUGUGAAGCUUCUGAUGGUGUGAUGAAGAACAGUGCUCCUGCUGUCCAAAUUCUCUCUCUUGGUGUCUCAGCAAGGAGUUCUCCAUAAGGAUAGCCUGCCUUUCUUAUUUUAAGUCUCUCAGCUGCACUUUGCUGAUUUGACAUCAGGUUCUCCUAUAAAUUGUGUAACUCUGCAGAGGCUGUGUUUGUAGACAGGAGAGAGGUAGGCAGGAGGUAGCAGGCCUACAGCCACAACAUUCUUUCUACAAUUUGUCACAAACAUCUGUUCCAUUCAGAAAAGAAGUCUAAGUGAUGAACCUGCCUAGGAACUUGCCUUGUAUUCAUUUUCAUGACAGCUAUGGGACUGUCAGACUGUUUGCUAAGCAAGCUUCUCUACACUGGGAGCUGAGAAAUUCUGCCUUUAUCUGAGGACAAAAGAGAUGGAGGAAUACCACUCACUGCAGAGCACAGGGAAACGUUCCUGUUAUGUCACUUUACCCAACAUUUGGCUAACGCUUUGUUGUAGGAACUCCCUUUCAUUGGUAUAAAAAGAAAGAAAAUCUGUUUUUUAACUGGGCUUGCCGGUUUGGCAUCUGUUCAAGUGACAGUAAGAAGUGUGCAUUGGGGCUGCAAUUAAAGCUCGAGGCAGCAGGGAGUCUGACAGUUUUGCUGAGAUGUAUGUGGCUUGUUGUAGUUAGGUACAACUGUUUGCUGCUGAAACUGUUGGCCUGCAAGACGUUCUUGCAUACAGUUAUGUAGGAAUGCUUUGAAAAUUAAAUUAAAUGGCUCCUUCUACAGGUGCCCAACAUCCUUACAGUUUAAAAUAAAAUAAGAGAGCUGUCCCAUUCACAAAAUGAAGCAACAAACUGUUGUGCUCCAUGGAUCCAGGAAUGCUGUCAUCUUCUCUUCUGCAUUACUGCUGGCACAUCGUGUGCUAGGACAGGCUGUGUCUUUUUCUGCUCUUUGUGUAUCAUUGAUGUGCUCAGCCCUGCUUUGCAGGUGUUAUAAGUCUCUUCUGUCUGUCCUUUUGCUCCCAGGAAGAAAAAGAGCUAGCAGCUGCAAUUCGUGCAUUUUGUUUUCUUUUUCAGGCUAUGGGAGGAGAGGCUCCUUUCUGCUCAGGAGAGAAAUAUUGUCCGUCUCCUUAGAGAGCAACCUGAGGUUACUGCACACUGCUGGUGUGAGAAGAGCCCUGCUCUGCCCAUUGUGUCCCUCCUCAGCGUGCUUGUAUGUUCUUCAUUUCCAGACUGAAAGCAGUUUAGUGCUGAUCUGGCCUUAUAUAGUAAUUUCCUAUUAUUAGAAACAUUUCCUUGGGACCUUGUUCAGGGAGUAACAGAGGGAAAUCCUGUUUCCUUCAUCUAACAUGCAGGCAAAGCACCACUGUUCACUCUUUCCUUAUCUAGUGUCACUAGAACAAGAAGCUUUUAUUAUAACAUGCUUUUCAGUCCGAAUCCCUUUCUAACACUAAGCCUCUUUCCAGAAAUGCAGAAAAAGAAAUGUUGAAGGAAUAGGAACUGUCAGUCACCAGUGUGAGCUGUAGAACAUUGCCUGCAGCCUAAUCCGAGGACUCGGAGAAGGUGAUGUCAUGAAGUUCUCAAUAAGGUGAAGGAAUUCUGCAGUCUUGAGACACCUUUGUAGUGAGUACAAUGGGCUUUUUAUUAAACCUUCAUAGGUCUGCAUUCUCCUAUCUGACCAGGAAUGCUGCAUCUCCUGGGUCCAAUAUCCUGUGUCCAUGUUUCUGUUGCACACUUCUUGUCUGGGGGGACAUCUCACUGCUCUCUGCACGCUGGAGGGUGAAUUGCAUCAAUGUAAGCAAAAAGGGGGUAGAAAGCAGGUGAUUGUUAGCAGAGCUGAUGGUGCAGGGGAGAGGUUCUGCCUUGUUAUCAAGCCUGUUAGAACAGUUAGCAUUGCAUCUUUGGCAGGGCAUUGAGUUAUUCAGUUGUGUGGUCAGAUGUUUGUCCUUUGCUGGCUUUUUUCCUUAGCAGUGGGCCAGAUGUCCUUCAGAACCCCCAGGUCCUGCUGUAGGGCAUCUUGGAGAUGCAAGGCACUGCGGUCAGGUUUUGAUCAGUGCAGUGCAGACAGCAGAACUCGUGUGGAAGGCUGAAGAAAUGUCUGCUCUUUGCGAAAGACUUUCCUCUGACCUGCAAGGAGACUCGAAUUCCUGGCCUGUUUAGGGUGGUUUGUUUCCCAUGGUGUCUUUGCCAAGUACUUUCUAAUUAUGGAAUGUGUGUUAUUCUGCAAUUCUUCUGCAAGGCAGAAAUAAUGACUAUUAUAAAAUACAUAUAUAUAAGCAUUUAUAAACGAGCUCAACAUCUUUUGGUUUUGGAAUAACGUAAAUACGACCUACAUUCCUUUUUGAAUAAAAAACACCAAAGCCAGAAUCUCUUACCUCCAGAUUUAUAUUGUGUGGUGGAAUCUGCACAGCACAGGAAAGGACUGUGGUUUGCUUGAUGCCAGCUCUGUGGGGCCAGGCUUUUUUUCAGGAGAGCCACUGCUUGUGGGCAGCGCAGCGAGUCACGCACUGCGCCCUGAGCCUGCUGGAGCAGGGCUGGCAGGAAAGGUUUCCAGUCCCCUUGCUUUGAAUGUGAGAUUGUAUGCAGGGAAUCAGCUGCUUAUCAGCAACGAGCAGAGCAAUCCCAGCGCUCUGAUGCAGGGUUUGUAUGACUCAUUUCUAACUGGUGUGGCCUGGAAAACUUGAUUCAUACCUCUCUGCCUGUAGUUGCCUGUAUUAGUGAUACAGAGCUAGCUAGCCAUCCUCAGCAGAAUGUGCAGACAAGGGCAGGGCUCUCUGUUGCUGGAAAAGAAGAGUGAGCUUUUCACUUUAAAAGUCUGGGAUCAGAAUCUUACGAAUAAAAAUUAUGUUGGUUAUCUCUGUUUUCCAAAUAUGUAUUUUUUCCUCCUAAUUUAGUCUAACCCAUGAGCAGGAGUGUUUUCCUCACCAACAAAAGUUGGGCAGUAGUUUGGCUAGAGAAAAAGACUGUUUUGAGUAAAGGUCUUCCCAAUACAUAAAUAUAUAAUUAAAAAAAAAAAAAAGGUUCUGCAUUUAAAAAAAAAAAAAAUCCUUCUGAACAUACCUGUGUGUUCUCCCAUGUGACAUUUGCAGCUGUAAGAUACGUUCUAAGAAGGAUUGUUAGAAAGUAGUAGAGACAAUGGGAAAGGUGAGGUUGCAGAUGUGGAAAUAACUCCAUGCUAAUACGUAACUUAAAAUGGUAACAUGAAUGUUACAGACCUCUGCGAAGUUUGCCUAUAACCAGACUGAUCUGAGGGAUGAUAAUAGAGGGUUGCCAUUACCCUCCUGAAGAAUUAGAGCUGCUAGGCAACGUUUCUAAUUAGAUGUGGAAAACUCCAUGCUCAAGGCUUGCUGUCAUGCUUUGGUGAUGGCUGACGUGGCUCAGUUUGGGAAAUGUAGCUUAGAUGAGCUUUGAUCUUACCUGUGCUCCUGCACUGAGCAGGGCUUUGGAAUACUGCUUAUUUCUUUCAUUGCUCUAAAGCUGACCAGUGCUAAACCUGCCUUUGAAAUGUGUCCUCAGGCUCUCAGAAGGUGUUCCACGAGCUUCACUGCAAGUCCUCAGAAGCGUUGGCUUCUUCUUCCCCUGAUGGAUGCCAGCACAGGAUCAAUGCUGGGCCUUGGGUCAGAGCUAAUUAGAGAGCAGCGCUGAGCACUGAACCGCUGACAACAUCUGCUACAUUUCUUGGGUUUUAAAUAGCUUCCUACUGAGUAGUGGCCAUGCAUGGCCUUGAUUUACUUAACUUGCUUUACUUCAAAGCUUUUUAGCUUUUUGCUUUAGUUGGUUUCAUAAAAGAACGACAUCAAGCAGAGCUGGAUCCAAAUAGUGCCAACCAUGAAUUAUCAGCCGUCAGACUUGGGGGUAAUUUUGUAGCUCUGUUUGUUCAGUGGUUAGAGAAUCUGCCAUUUGGUGCUGCAGAAUUUGGCUGAUGAAUGCCACGUGGGACCACUUUAAAUGGAUUCCCACAGCUGAGCUGCCUGUAAUGUUGGUUCUGGGCAGAUGAGCAAAGCAGGGUUCAUUCCGCAGUGCCAGUCCUGCACCCGUGUCUGAUCCCAGACUAGUGCACCUAAGGGCCAAGGAGCCUUUUUAGAAAGAGGAAAUCCGAUUUCUUCCUGCUUUCUCCUUUUAUCCUAUGAUCAAUAUAGAAGCCUUCCUCACUUAAAGAAAAUAAAAGUGCUGUCUCCGUGUUGAGGGAAGGACGUCAUUGUCUGCCACCUCUGUUCACUUCUACGUGGUAGCAAAGUGAUGUCAACUGCCAUUCAGUGGGUGAUGCCUUCAGUGACACCUGGAUUUCAGAAGUAUUUGAGCUGAUGCUACAGUCUCCUCUUUUCAGAAGACGAUGCAAGAAAGAUUCAUUUCUCCUUGAUCACGUCCCUUUGAGAACUAUGGCUUCAGCUUGGAUUAGGUGUAGAUGUGUGCAUUUACAGUGAAUGUCAUCUGAAUAUUCAGCUGAUGGGUUCGUAAUGUCACACCAAGUUUGAGACCUCCGAACUGCAGGUGCAACUUAGGUGUUUUGUGUGUGGGCAGUGCUUUGUACACUGGAUAAACCUGCACUGAAUUUGCAGCCAUUUGUCAAGCUCCCUGCUAAUUGUAGUCGCAUAUUAUGGAACAUUUGAUGAGAGGGGCCUGUUAAGAGCGUGGUAUAAAGGAGAAAUGGGUGACAAAUGCUUUGUACAGAUUGUCACUAUCUGUGUCGUGAGACUUGCAGACAGAAACCCAUCUUUUCCAUUAGCCACUAAGAGUCAGAUCGAAUGGAUGACCAAUUUUUUUGUUGCUGAUGCUUGGAAAUGGCAGAGCAUGGGACAGAAGUUUGUGUGCAGGAGUCUGUCUGCCCGCUAGGCAGCUGGAUAGCUUAGACCACUGAGGAGCAAAAUAACAGAACCACUGAGUAGUUUGGAUUGGGAAGGACCUGUGGGAAUCCCUGGUGCAACCCUGCUUCAAGGCAGGGCUGAUUUACAUCAGAUUUCUCAAGCCCUUGUCUGAUUGAAUCUCGGGUAUUUCCAAGGAUGGAGUUUCACAACUUUCGGGGGCCUCUAUUCCAGUAUUUGAUGGCUCUUAUAGUGGGGGGGGAAAAAAAAAGUCAUAAUAUCUCCUUGGAAUUUCCCUGCCCUCAGCUUGUGUCCAUUGCCUCUUGGCUUUUCACUUCCACCUAAUGCAUAUGCAAAGGCAAAUAUACAUUUUGAUUACUGUCAGAAUGCCCUCAUCUCAGGGCACUGGUGGUUUCCACAGCCUCAGUGUAGCAAUGGCCAGUAAUUUUUUAUGCGAGACCAAACCCUGAUGACCUGCAGGGCAGGGAAAUGUGCCACUUGUGAUUGCAGUGCAGGGUGACUAAGGGCAACAGGGGCUUCACUGUGCUCUGUAAGGAAGGGUUCUACGUGGCACUGCUGGUUACUUGGUGAUGAGAGCUUCCAUAGAAAGUGGGUGUUCUGAGAGUGGGUGUCUGCAAAUGCUUGGGAAUAAAUAUUGCUGAGCAAAUAUACUGAGUCCAAAGACAGACAAGGCAAACUGUGUUACCCGUGGACUCUUUGUGCUCCUGUGAUUUGCUGAGAGAAUGAUGACAAGCGGAAUUAUAAUUGCACUAUAAUUGCCCAGGAGGUUCUGCUGUGGUUGGGGUGAGUCUGGAGUGGAUGUGGGGAGCCCUCUUGAUACAGCUGCUGCUGUUUCAGAGCAGAAAGGAAUCACCGUAGUGGAGCACAUGGCUUCCUGUCCUGUUUGCUGUGGUUUGGCUUAUUGGGCUGCACACCAGUUUUUCCAUCGCCUGUGAUUACUUUUCUUUCCGUUUUUCCCCCAUUGGGCUGCAGGGACCCAGGUGCAGGCUGAAGGCAGAGGACAGCUGACUUCUUUUCCCUCCGACUGCCUCUCCCCAUGUGUGCUGUGUGUCCCCUCGUAGCGAGGGGAGGAGAAUUCCCCUCCCUUCCCUUGUAAAACGCCCUCUCUGGGAUGCUCCAGUAGGAGCUGGUGGGAGGGAAGGAGUUCUGACUGCACCGAAAAUGUCAUUAAAAAGAAAAAAAAAAAGGCAACUGACAGAAGAGGGAACUUGUCCUCAGAUUCCUGCUUUAUGCAGCGGCGUAAACCAAAGCUCUGAAAGCACUGUGAGAGCUGGAAGGAGUCAGAAAUGAAGUACAGAGGCGCGGUAAGAUUUAUUUUACUGCUUUGAUAUUUGUGCAGUUUUCAGGCGUGCGCUUCUCCUUCUUGUCUAGCCUCUUGUCUAAAAUAAGUUUAGAAGGUUUCAGCAGGAGAGUGAAAUGUUUGAGCCUACUUUGUGAAAUGCACGGUAGUGGGAAAGUUACUUGCAAGUGGUCGGGAUGGCACAGAAGAGAAAUGUUUUGAGGCAACAGUGAAGGUGGGAGUUUGAAAAGCGAGGGCUUAGCGGCAUGCUGUGUUAGGGGAGAAGAAAGGGUGGAGCUUUUGCUUGGGUGGAGGGGGCACGAGCCUGCCCACCGUGGUGGUGGGCACAAAUUGUGUCCUACCCAGGGACUGUGCCCGUGACCACUGCCACAGGGAAUGGCAGGAAAUACCUGCUGAAGGACUCACUGCCACUCAGUCCCUCCGGGAUGUAUUUAUUUCAGCAAAACUUUGUGUUUUAGUAGCAGCCAGGAAGCCUGAGUUUGUGUGCAGCACAGCAGAGCUACCCAGAGCUUUGAAAAGUGUGGCAAAAGAUGGAGGAAAUUAGGAUUGUUACGUGGAAAAGAUGAAUAAGGGAGGAGGAAAUGUAACACACGCAGUAGUGUGACAGGCAGGGCAGACUGCAAGCUCCUGUUCUCUGGGCAGUAACAUAGGAACAGGGGCAUUCCAUUUGGUUAAAAGCUGUCAAAUAGCUGCAGAGAUUACUUUCAUACAGUGCAUAGUUGUGCCACAGAAUUCACUGACCCUGGAAGAUGCCAAGGUCUAGAAUUUAACAUUAUUAAAAAGAACGAAAAAGUGGUUGUGGGGUUUUGUCUGGAUAAGAAUGUCCAAAGCUUUAAUUGGUAAAGCUAGCAAAUUUGGGAGGAGAAGGACUGAAAACAACAUGUCUCUAGGUUUAAACAAUUCUCCAACUGUUGAACUGGGGCCAGAGUAUCCCAUAAUUGCUCAACCUGCGGAUCCUUGCAUCUUUUCCCAAAAAGUCCAUCUGAUGCUGAGCGCUGCCUGAGGAACUCUCUCAGUGCUGAAGGGAAGCACAGAGCUUCUGGAGGACCUGCCUGCCUCUCCCAGCAGCACGGUGCAUUUGUAGAUGGAUUAUGCUGUGCCUAAGGAUUGUGGUUGUCUUCCUCUUGGCACAGGGGACUGUAGGAGGCAGCCAACCUGUGUCCAGCAACAGACAUAGAAAAAGGGUGAUUUUUUAAGGUGAUAGCAGUGAUGUUGUCUAGGGUGGUGGUUUGAUAUUUUCCAAGAGAACGUGUGGGUGUGGAAGUGCCCUUCACAUGCACGGGGAAUGCACUGCAGCUUGCCCUGGUUGGAAAGUUUUACUGUCUUUGAAAGGACAUAAUGGUCUGAAAUGGUUGUGUGGGGCGUGUGGAAUCCAGAGCAGAAGGUGGGAAUCUCUAGUGUGGGGAAAGGCAGAGUGCACCAAGAAUAACAGUGAGUCACGCCGUGUACAAAUAUGCAAGAGAGAAGAAAGAAUGUGUGCAUUUAGAGAGGACUACAACAGCAGUUACCAAAGAGCAGGGAAUGGGGCCACGAGGUCAGCACCCCAUUGCUGCAGGCUGGGAACAACUCCAAGCUGUGAUGCUUAUCUGUGGGCCAGUGUUUGAGUUUCUGUUUCCUUCUCACCUGCUCUGUCUGAUGUAGAAGUGGUGGCAGAACUUCUCUGGAAGUGUCGUGGAAGGGCAGAGAUUCCAAUGUUUGCUCUUUAUGCCAUCUGUUUGUCUUCCGAAGCUUCUGCAGGACCUGAGCUCACAGGUAGCACUGCUACAUAUACUGAAAUCAGGAAUGUCUAUUGACUAGCAACAGCUUAUGUCACCUGUUCAGGAGCAAAAACGUCCUUCCUUCAAUACAGGAAUUCAGUUUAUUCACAUUUCCAGCCUUGGUCGUGUUCCUGCUUUGCCUCACUCAUUUUUCUUACCACUAUUUUAUAUUGAGCUUGUUGAUGGAAAUACGAGCAUCCCUUCUUAGGGUAAGCAUUUCUUUCUUUCCUUCAAAUUAGACCUUUAAAAGUUUUCUUUUCAAUAAUAAUUGGUCCUCUAUUUCCAGUCUUUCUUCCUCCAUCCCAAAAGUGCAUCAUCUGGAAAAUAUGUUUAAAUAUCGAACAAACAACAUUUCCUGCUUCUCGUGCAAAUCUCCGUGGCUCCCUUUGGUCUACAGUUAGUUGUUAUUUGCAUUUCUAAUUUACAUUUGGGCUCCUUAGAUAGAUUUCCACUAUCUAAAUAUUGCAAGUGUCAAAUGCCAUUGAUUGAUAUAUUAGGAGUGGUAAUUAACUGCAGCAACAUCCACACCCUGCAUUAUUGUUUUUCAAUGGAAUGAAUUUUACUUUCACAGUUCUAUCUCCCUGUGACCUACAUGCAUUUAAUAGAUACUUAAAAUAUGCACACAGUAUGAUUGCAUUGCUCACAUUUCCCAUUCUCCUUUGCAUUUUAGGGUGGGAGAUUAAAUGUAGCUUAGGGAAGGGGAGGCAGGACUUCUAGCUUCUAGGCAGCUUGCUACUAGAGAUGUCAUAAAUCUUGGUGAGAGCAAAAUAAGCUCGCUUCCCCUAUAUUUCUGAUUAUGUCAAGUUUUAAUGUACUCCAGCUUGUGUCUACUUAAAAUACGAAAGACUUCAAAAUAAAUACUUUACAGGAAUUAGGCAAGGAAGUGGCAUUUGUCUCUCCUUAAUACAAUUUCUCGCAUAGUGGAUUUCAUCGUUAAAUCCAUUCAAGAUGUGUUUUAGGAUCAGGAGGGAAGCAUCUGAGAGGGAGAACCAAGUUCUUGCAUGGGCAAAGUGCACCCGACUCCAGACAUUCCUUUGCUGGAGAUGUAUUGCUCUAAAAGAAGCAAGAAUUAAAAAAA
Molecule: non-coding RNA, 13316 nt
Organism: Meleagris gallopavo (turkey)
Lineage: Eukaryota; Metazoa; Chordata; Aves; Galliformes; Phasianidae
Source: RefSeq, a predicted model, not a curated record